RNAcentral lists this ribosomal RNA (397 nucleotides) under uncultured bacterium. RNAcentral's name for it is "partial 16S ribosomal RNA". It matches the Rfam family "Bacterial small subunit ribosomal RNA", at positions 523 to 918 of the family's 1533-position model. The record is from RNAcentral.
AUACGUAGGGGGCGAGCGUUGUCCGGAAUGAUUGGGCGUAAAGGGCGCGUAGGCGGCUUUGCAAGUCAGUGGUGGAAGUCCAUUUUUCAAGGAUGGAAGUGCUACAGAAACUGCGGAGCUUGAGUGCAGGAGAGGUUAUCGGAAUUCCCGGUGUAGCGGUGAAAUGCGUAGAGAUCGGGAGGAACACCAGUGGCGAAGGCGGGUAACUGGACUGCAACUGACGCUGAGGCGCGAAAGUGUGGGGAGCAAACAGGAUUAGAUACCCUGGUAGUCCACACUGUAAACGAUGAAUGCUAGGUGUAGGAGGUAUUGACCCCUUCUGUGCCGCAGUAAACACAGUAAGCAUUCCGCCUGGGGAGUACGGUCGCAAGAUUAAAACUCAAAUGAAUUGACGGGG